CCUACGGGGGACUGCAGUGAGGAAUAUUGGUCAAUGGACGAGAGUCUGAACCAGCCAAGUAGCGUGAAGGAUGACUGCCCUAUGGGUUGUAAACUUCUUUUAUAUGGGAAUAAAAUGUUCCACGUGUGGGAUUUUGUAUGUACCAUAUGAAUAAGGAUCGGCUAACUCCGUGCCAGCAGCCGCGGUAAUACGGAGGAUCCGAGCGUUAUCCGGAUUUAUUGGGUUUAAAGGGAGCGUAGGUGGAUUUUUAAGUCAGUUGUGAAAGUUUGCGGCUCAACCGUAAAAUUGCAGUUGAAACUGGCAGUCUUGAGUACAGGAGAGGUGGGCGGAAUUCGUGGUGUAGCGGUGAAAUGCUUAGAUAUCACGAAGAACUCCGAUUGCGAAGGCAGUUCACUGGACUGCAACUGACACUGAGGCUCGAAAGUGUGGGUAUCAAACAGGAUUAGAUACCCUUGUAGUC
Molecule: ribosomal RNA, 460 nt
Filed under: uncultured bacterium
Lineage: Bacteria
Description: partial 16S ribosomal RNA
Rfam family: Bacterial small subunit ribosomal RNA
Source: RNAcentral